Molecule: ribosomal RNA, 404 nt
Filed under: uncultured bacterium
Lineage: Bacteria
Description: bacterial SSU rRNA
Rfam family: Bacterial small subunit ribosomal RNA
Source: RNAcentral
UUAGGAAUCUUGCGCAAUGGACGAAAGUCUGACGCAGCAACGCCGCGUGAGGGAUGACGGCUUUCGGGUUGUAAACCUCUUUCAGCAGGAACGAAAAUGACGGUACCUGCAGAAGAAGCUCCGGCCAACUACGUGCCAGCAGCCGCGGUAAUACGUAGGGAGCAAGCGUUGUCCGGAUUUAUUGGGCGUAAAGAGCUCGUAGGCGGUUUAGAAAGUCAGGUGUGAAACCUCCAGGCUCAACCUGGAGACGCCACUUGAUACUUCUAUGACUUGAGUUCGGUAGGGGACCAUGGAAUUCCUGGUGUAGCGGUGAAAUGCGCAGAUAUCAGGAGGAACACCGAUGGCGAAGGCAGUGGUCUGGGCCGAUACUGACGCUGAGGAGCGAAAGCGUGGGGAGCGAACAG